Molecule: ribosomal RNA, 492 nt
Filed under: uncultured bacterium
Lineage: Bacteria
Description: partial 16S ribosomal RNA
Rfam family: Bacterial small subunit ribosomal RNA
Source: RNAcentral
GAUGAACGCUAGCUACAGGCUUAACACAUGCAAGUCGAGGGGAAACGGCAUUGAGUGCUUGCACUCUUUGGACGUCGACCGGCGCACGGGUGAGUAACGCGUAUCCAACCUUCCCAUUACUGUGGGAUAACCUGCCGAAAGGCAGACUAAUACCGCAUAGUCUUCGAUGACGGCAUCAGAUUUGAAGUAAAGAUUUAUCGGUAAUGGAUGGGGAUGCGUCUGAUUAGCUUGUUGGCGGGGUAACGGCCCACCAAGGCUACGAUCAGUAGGGGUUCUGAGAGGAAGGUCCCCCACAUUGGAACUGAGACACGGUCCAAACUCCUACGGGAGGCAGCAGUGAGGAAUAUUGGUCAAUGGACGGAAGUCUGAACCAGCCAAGUAGCGUGCAGGAUGACGGCCCUAUGGGUUGUAAACUGCUUUUGUACGGGGAUAAAGUUAGGGACGUGUCCCUAUUUGCAGGUACCAUACGAAUAAGGACCGGCUAAUUCCGUG